Molecule: small nuclear RNA, 103 nt
Organism: Ursus americanus (American black bear)
Lineage: Eukaryota; Metazoa; Chordata; Mammalia; Carnivora; Ursidae
Source: Ensembl
GUGCUCGCUUUGGUAGCACCUCUACUACAAGUGGAACGCUACAAGGAGUGAGCAUGGCCCCUGCACAAGGGACAAGCAGAUUCAUGAGGAUAUUGUUGUAACA